RNAcentral lists this ribosomal RNA (442 nucleotides) under Diplodontias miliaris. RNAcentral's name for it is "eukaryotic LSU rRNA". It matches the Rfam family "Eukaryotic large subunit ribosomal RNA", at positions 2394 to 2827 of the family's 3401-position model. The record is from RNAcentral. Lineage: Eukaryota; Metazoa; Echinodermata; Asteroidea; Valvatida; Odontasteridae.
UUAGCGGGGAAAGUAGACCCUGUUGAGCUUGACUCUAGUCUGGCUUUGUGAGGAGACAUGGAAGGUGUAGAAUAAGUGGGAGAUCUCGGUCGCCAAUGAAAUACCACUACUUUCAUCGUUUCCUCACUUACUCGAUUAUACGGGGACUGCUCCUUUGUGGGCAUCAUUCUCGAAUCAAGUCCCCGGCCUCGCCGUCGGGGACGACCCGCUUCGAGGACAGAGCCAGGUGGGGAGUUUGACUGGGGCGGUACAUCUGUCAAACGAUAACGCAGGUGUCCGAAGGCCAGCUCAGCGAGGACAGAAACCUCGCGUAGAGCAAAAGGGCAAAAGCUGGCUUGAUCCUGAUUUUCAGUAUGAAUACGGACCGGGAAACCGCGGCCCAUCGAUCCUCUUGAUUUUAAGAGUUUUAAGCAAGAGGUGUCAGAAAAGUUACCACAGGGAU